UUUUCAGCUUUAGAUCGAGGUCAGAAGCUGUCACAAAAACGUAAAUUCUAUGAUGGGUCGUAUGCAUCUCAUUCAUGGUGGUCUAGUUUACGAACACAUGAAAAGGACAAUUUUCUGAUUAACGUCAGCUUUGAGUUUAGGAUAUAUUCCAGACAUCUUAGUUGCCCUUACUUAUUUUUGGAGACAUUUCUCUCAGCCAUUAAUGAAGCAAU
Non-coding RNA from Equus caballus (horse), 212 nucleotides. The record is from Rfam. NCBI's taxonomy places the organism in Eukaryota, Metazoa, Chordata, Mammalia, Perissodactyla, Equidae.